Molecule: ribosomal RNA, 589 nt
Filed under: uncultured bacterium
Lineage: Bacteria
Description: bacterial SSU rRNA
Rfam family: Bacterial small subunit ribosomal RNA
Source: RNAcentral
UCGAACGAGUUCUCGUUGAUGAUCGGUGCUUGCACCGAGAUUCAACAUGGAACGAGUGGCGGACGGGUGAGUAACACGUGGGUAACCUGCCCUUAAGUGGGGGAUAACAUUUGGAAACAGAUGCUAAUACCGCAUAGAUCCAAGAACCGCAUGGUUCUUGGCUGAAAGAUGGCGUAAGCUAUCGCUUUUGGAUGGACCCGCGGCGUAUUAGCUAGUUGGUGAGGUAAUGGCUCACCAAGGCGAUGAUACGUAGCCGAACUGAGAGGUUGAUCGGCCACAUUGGGACUGAGACACGGCCCAAACUCCUACGGGAGGCAGCAGUAGGGAAUCUUCCACAAUGGACGCAAGUCUGAUGGAGCAACGCCGCGUGAGUGAAGAAGGCUUUCGGGUCGUAAAACUCUGUUGUUGGAGAAGAAUGGUCGGCAGAGUAACUGUUGUCGGCGUGACGGUAUCCAACCAGAAAGCCACGGCUAACUACGUGCCAGCAGCCGCGGUAAUACGUAGGUGGCAAGCGUUAUCCGGAUUUAUUGGGCGUAAAGCGAGCGCAGGCGGUUUUUUAAGUCUGAUGUGAAAGCCCUCGGCUUAACCG